Molecule: long non-coding RNA, 780 nt
Organism: Perognathus longimembris pacificus (Pacific pocket mouse)
Lineage: Eukaryota; Metazoa; Chordata; Mammalia; Rodentia; Heteromyidae
Exons: 2
Source: RefSeq, a predicted model, not a curated record
UGGUAGUUAAUUUGGAUAUGAGUCUGGUGGAAUUUCCUGCCUUGGUUGGCUUCAAUUUGUGAUCCUCAGAUCUCAGCCUCCUGAGCAGCUAGGAAUACAAGCAUGAGCCUCUGGCACCUAACUAGACCUAGUCUUGAAGAAUUUGAUGAUACUCUUAAGUGCUAAUCCUUCCCCACAUAUAAAAAUAGACAAUCAUUGAUUGCUUCUAUUCUCAAGAAAGUCUAUCUAGUCCGGAGCUCCAGUGCCUCUGCACCGAUUGCUUCCAUUGCCUCCAUCAUUUGUUCUGAAGAUGUGCCCCCCCCCCCUGCUUAGAGUGCUAUUAUCUUAUCAAAUAAUUGAGUACAGAAUUAGAUGCUAGUAAACUCCAACUCUUUCUCAUAUUGCCAAAGACCUUUUGUUGUUUCUUAACCAUAUUCUUAGAAGGUCAUUACGAAGCAUGAGUUUAAAUUGGUGUUUUGGCUCUCUCUAGCAGGAGAUCUUGGCUAGCAUGUCAUGAAUCUCUAGAAUUUGCUUGUUUUCAUCUCUUUCCCUAAGUCUUUUAUGUUGUCUACUUCCUCUGACUGAUUCUUGUCUACUAAGGAAACAUAUUUCCAUUCUUUUGAGUUGAGGGAAGAAAGCUUGUUUUUCAUUUAGGAUUAUUUCUAUCCCUGAAUGGAAAAAUACCUUUAAAUCUAUUGGUGUAUAUAGACUAAAAUAAUCUGAUUGAAAUUCCUAAAUACAAGUAUAAUCUUGUGUGUGUUCCAGUGCCGGUAAAUAAUACAUGAAUGGUUUCUAACUUAA